CAAUAGCGUAUAUUAAAGUUGUUGCAGUUAAAAAGCUCGUAGUUGGAUUUCUGAUCGAGACAUCAGGUCGGGUCCGAGAGGAUCAUGUACUUUGAUUUUGUUUUGAUCAUCCUUGGGGAGAGCAUUUCUGGCAUUCAGUUGUCGGGAUUGGGAUCCUCAUCGUUUACUGUGAAAAAAUUAGAGUGUUCAAAGCAGGCCUCGGCCUCUGAAUACAUUAGCAUGGAAUAAUAAGAUAGGACUUUGGUGGUCUAUUUUGUUGGUUUGCACGCCAAAGUAAUGAUUAAUAGGGAUAGUUGGGGGUAUUCGUAUUCAAUUGUCAGAGGUGAAACUCUUGGAUUUAUGGAAGACGAACUACUGCGAAAGCAUUUACCAAGGAUGUUUUCAUUAA
RNAcentral lists this ribosomal RNA (388 nucleotides) under uncultured eukaryote. RNAcentral describes it as "partial 18S ribosomal RNA". It matches the Rfam family "Eukaryotic small subunit ribosomal RNA", at positions 592 to 976 of the family's 1831-position model. The record is from RNAcentral.